UUCUACAUAUCAACUAAGCUACUUCACUCACUUAUUUAAGCUACUUCACUUCAUUCUUCCCAUAAUAUCUAGGAUGGCUUCUUCACACAUUGCCAUACUUUUCUGUCAAUAAUUUAAACAGGACUAUGAACAUGCACUUAUUCCCACCCAAGCUCAAGGGUGUGUAGUUGCUGAGCCUACAUACCCCGGUAAAUGUAUUAACACUAACGAUUGUAACAAUUAUUGUGAGUUUGUAAAACAUUUUCUCGGCGGUAGAUGCGGACCUGUUUACCAAUGUCUGUGUAGGAGAUGUUAAGUCUCUGGAAUUUUAUUUUUCAUGAAUAAAAUGAGUAUAUUUGGAGUAAAAGUAAUGCCUAAACCAUCAUAUUAUUGUGUAUACCUUUUUAUGACUUCUGUAUGGGUAAAUGACUGUUCUAUUUGAAAUGAAUGGUUAUAGAUAAAGUUGUUAUUCACUUGCAUUCUUUUACUUGAACAAUUAGUCAAAGAUUGACAAGAUCCUUUAUCCUUGAAAUGACAAGAGGUACACUCCAGCAUGAACCUUAGUUGAAGGUAGAUGACACAAUUGCUAAGAUUUCAGGCCAUCUAAUAGAAUUACUGUUUAUAAGGCAUCCCAACAAGCAGUGAUUUUAACCAUAUAACUGAAUUUUGAGAUAUGGUUGGUUCUAUGCGGACCAAAAUUAUAUAGUGCAUAAGAGAGGAAAUAAAUAAAUAAGAUUCAACUCUAUGAUCUACUUACACUCAUGGAGUAUUUCGAUUUUUAGGAAUGCUUUUAUUUUUAGAAAUAAUCAAGUGGACAUGAAUUUGAUAAAACUAACAACAUUCAAUAUUUUUUUUGGAUUAGUC
Non-coding RNA from Lupinus albus (white lupine), 843 nucleotides. The record is from the annotation of a GenBank genome assembly. Lineage: Eukaryota; Viridiplantae; Streptophyta; Magnoliopsida; Fabales; Fabaceae.